UCUGGUUGAUCCUGCCAGUAGUUAUAUGCUUGUCUCAAAGAUUAAGCCAUGCAUGUCUAAGUACACACGAAUUAAAAGUGAAACCGCAAAAGGCUCAUUAUAUCAGUUAUGGUUCCUUAGAUCGUUAACAGUUACUUGGAUAACUGUGGUAAUUCUAGAGCUAAUACAUGCAAUUAAAACAUGAACCUUAUGGGACAUGUGCUUUUAUUAGGCUAAAACCAAGCGAUCGCAAGAUCGUUAUAUUGGUUGAACUCUAGAUAACAUGCAGAUCGUAUGGUCUUGUACCGACGACAGAUCUUUCAAAUGUCUGCCCUAUCAACUUUUGAUGGUAGUAUCUAGGACUACCAUGGUUGCAACGGGUAACGGGGAAUCAGGGUUCGAUUCCGGAGAGGGAGCCUGAGAAACGGCUACCACAUCUAAGGAAGGCAGCAGGCGCGUAAAUUACCACUCCCAGCUCGGGGAGGUAGUGACGAAAAAUAACAAUACAGGACUCAUAUCCGAGGCCCUGUAAUUGGAAUGAGUACACUUUAAAUCCUUUAACAAGGACCAAUUGGAGGGCAAGUCUGGUGCCAGCAGCCGCGGUAAUUCCAGCUCCAAUAGCGUAUAUUAAAGUUGUUGCGGUUAAAACGUUCGUAGUUGAACUUGUGCUUCAUACGGGUAGUACAACUUACAAUUGUGGUUAGUACUAUACCUUUAUGUAUGUAAGCGUAUUACCGGUGGAGUUCUUAUAUGUGAUUAAAUACUUGUAUUUUUUCAUAGUUCCUCCUAUUUAAAAACCUGCAUUAGUGCUCUUAAACGAGUGUUAUUGUGGGCCGGUACUAUUACUUUGAACAAAUUAGAGUGCUUAAAGCAGGCUUCAAAUGCCUGAAUAUUCUGUGCAUGGGAUAAUGAAAUAAGACCUCUGUUCUGCUUUCAUUGGUUUUCAGAUCAAGAGGUAAUGAUUAAUAGAAGCAGUUUGGGGGCAUUAGUAUUACGACGCGAGAGGUGAAAUUCUUGGACCGUCGUAAGACUAACUUAAGCGAAAGCAUUUGCCAAAGAUGUUUUCAUUAAUCAAGAACGAAAGUUAGAGGUUCGAAGGCGAUCAGAUACCGCCCUAGUUCUAACCAUAAACGAUGCCAGCUAGCAAUUGGGUGUAGCUACUUUUAUGGCUCUCUCAGUCGCUUCCCGGGAAACCAAAGCUUUUGGGCUCCGGGGGAAGUAUGGUUGCAAAGCUGAAACUUAAAGGAAUUGACGGAAGGGCACCACCAGGAGUGGAGCCUGCGGCUUAAUUUGACUCAACACGGGAAAACUUACCAGGUCCGAACAUAAGUGUGUAAGACAGAUUGAUAGCUCUUUCUCGAAUCUAUGGGUGGUGUGCAUGGCCGUUCUUAGUUCGUGGAGUGAUUUGUCUGGUUAAUUCCGAUAACGAACGAGACUCAAAUAUAUUAAAUAGAUAUCUUCAGGAUUAUGGUGCUGAAGCUUAUGUAGCCUUCAUUCAUGUUGGCAGUAAAAUGCUUAUUGUGUUUGAAUGUGUUUAUGUAAGUGGAGCCGUACCUGUUGGUUUGUCCCAUUAUAAGGACACUAGCUUCUUAAAUGGACAAAUUGCGUCUAGCAAUAAUGAGAUUGAGCAAUAACAGGUCUGUGAUGCCCUUAGAUGUCCUGGGCUGCACGCGCGCUACAAUGAAAGUAUCAACGUGUAUUUCCUAGACCGAGAGGUCCGGGUAAACCGCUGAACCACUUUCAUGCUUGGGAUUGUGAACUGAAACUGUUCACAUGAACUUGGAAUUCCCAGUAAGUGUGAGUCAUUAACUCGCAUUGAUUACGUCCCUGCCCUUUGUACACACCGCCGUCGCUACUACCGAUUGAAUUAUUUAGUGAGGUCUCCGGACGUGAUCACUGUGACGCCUUGCGUGUUACGGUUGUUUCGCAAAAGUUGACCGAACUUGAUUAUUUAGAGGAAGUAAAAGUCGUAACAAGGUUUCCGUAGGUGAACCUGCGGAAG
Molecule: ribosomal RNA, 1981 nt
Filed under: Drosophila melanogaster (fruit fly)
Lineage: Eukaryota; Metazoa; Arthropoda; Insecta; Diptera; Drosophilidae
Description: SSU rRNA
Rfam family: Eukaryotic small subunit ribosomal RNA
Source: RNAcentral